AUGUUAUUUGCUGUGUGGAUAGAGAGGUUACCACACAGGUGUUUUUUGAGUGAUUUGGUAUCUAUUUGGGUUACACGCUUAAACUCUGUAUUCAUAUUUCUAAUUCCAGUCUACAAUCCUGUCCGUAGAUUGCAAAGCCAGCCUUAUCUUGAUUAGAUAGUAAAGCCACCAGAAGCAGAGAAGGAUUAUUAUUGUUAUUAAUAAUAAUAUUUAUAAAUCGACAACAUAUUCUGCAGCAUUGUACAAUGGAUGGACUAAUAGACAAGUAUUUGUAACCAGAUGAUUUAGAUGCACAGGAACAGAGCAAAUAUGCUAGAGGGAGU
Molecule: non-coding RNA, 323 nt
Organism: Pelobates cultripes (western spadefoot toad)
Lineage: Eukaryota; Metazoa; Chordata; Amphibia; Anura; Pelobatidae
Source: the annotation of a GenBank genome assembly